CGUUAGCGGCGGACGGGUGAGUAACACGUGGAUAACCUACCUAUAAGACUGGAUAACUUCGGGAAACCGGAGCUAAUACCGGAUAAUAUAUUGAACCGCAUGGUUCAAUAGUGAAAGACGGUUUUGCUGUCACUUAUAGAUGGAUCCGCGCCGCAUUAGCUAGUUGGUAAGGUAACGGCUUACCAAGGCAACGAUGCGUAGCCGACCUGAGAGGGUGAUCGGCCACACUGGAACUGAAACACGGUCCAGACUCCUACGGGAGGCAGCAGGA
This 271-nucleotide ribosomal RNA is filed under the name uncultured Staphylococcus sp. RNAcentral's name for it is "partial 16S ribosomal RNA". It matches the Rfam family "Bacterial small subunit ribosomal RNA", at positions 90 to 354 of the family's 1533-position model. Lineage: Bacteria; Bacillati; Bacillota; Bacilli; Caryophanales; Staphylococcaceae. The record is from RNAcentral.